Molecule: ribosomal RNA, 297 nt
Filed under: uncultured Synechococcus sp.
Lineage: Bacteria; Bacillati; Cyanobacteriota; Cyanophyceae; Synechococcales; Synechococcaceae
Description: partial 16S ribosomal RNA
Rfam family: Bacterial small subunit ribosomal RNA
Source: RNAcentral
ACAAAGAGCAGCAAGUUCGCGAGGACAAGCAAAUCUCAUCAACCGUGGCUCAGUUCAGAUCGUAGGCUGCAACUCGCCUACGUGAAGGAGGAAUCGCUAGUAAUCGCAGGUCAGCAUACUGCGGUGAAUACGUUCCCGGGCCUUGUACACACCGCCCGUCACACCAUGGAAGUUGGCCACGCCCGAAGCCGUUACUCCAACCCUUGUGGAGGAGGACGUCGAAGGUGGGGCUGAUGACUGGGGUGAAGUCGUAACAAGGUAGCCGUACCGGAAGGUGCGGCUGGAUCACCUCCUAAC